AGCUCCAAUAGCGUAUAUUAAAGUUGUUGCAGUUAAAAAGCUCGUAGUUGGAUUUCUGCUGGGAGCGGUGUGUCCGGCGCUCAGCGCUGCGAACACGUUCCGCGUCCCGGCAUUUUUGGGGAGAACGUGCCUGGCAUUAGGUUGUCGGGUUCGGGAUCCCCAUCGUUUACUGUGAAAAAUUAGAGUGUUUAAAGCAGGCUUACGCCGUUGAAUACAUUAGCAUGGAAUAAUAAGAUAGGACUUUGGUGGUCUAUUUUGUUGGUUUGCACACCAAGGUAAUGAUUAAUAGGGAUAGUUGGGGGUAUUCGUAUUCAAUUGUCAGAGGUGAAAUUCUUGGAUUUAUGGAAGACGAACUACUGCGAAAGCAUUUACCAAGGAUGUUUUCA
RNAcentral lists this ribosomal RNA (386 nucleotides) under uncultured eukaryote. RNAcentral describes it as "SSU rRNA". It matches the Rfam family "Eukaryotic small subunit ribosomal RNA", at positions 587 to 972 of the family's 1831-position model. The record is from RNAcentral.